GAUGAACGCUGGCGGCGUGCCUAAUACAUGCAAGUCGAGCGAACAGAUGAGGAGCUUGCUCCUCUGACGUUAGCGGCGGACGGGUGAGUAACACGUGGAUAACCUACCUAUAAGACUGGGAUAACUUCGGGAAACCGGAGCUAAUACCGGAUAAUAUAUUGAACCGCAUGGUUCAAUAGUGAAAGACGGUUUUGCUGUCACUUAUAGAUGGAUCCGCGCCGCAUUAGCUAGUUGGUAAGGUAACGGCUUACCAAGGCAACGAUGCGUAGCCGACCUGAGGGGGUGAUCGGCCACACUGGAACUGAGACACGGUCCAGACUCCUACGGGAGGCAGCAGUAGGGAAUCUUCCGCAAUGGGCGAAAGCUUGACGGAGCAACGCCGCGUGAGUGAUGAAGGUCUUCGGAUCGUAAAACUCUGUUAUUAGGGAAGAACAAAUGUGUAAGUAACUAUGCACGUCUUGACGGUACCUAAUCAGAAAGCCACGGCUAACUACGUG
Molecule: ribosomal RNA, 497 nt
Filed under: uncultured bacterium
Lineage: Bacteria
Description: partial 16S ribosomal RNA
Rfam family: Bacterial small subunit ribosomal RNA
Source: RNAcentral